AUAUCCAAGCAUUUUCAUAUUGUCACAAAAAAGAUUUGAAGAUUUGAACUGACGAGCAAAGGAAGACGAUAAGAUCAUGGCGUCUAAAAUCAACGCCAUAAACCAGUUCGCUUUUUCAAGAGACUUCGUACUGAUUUUCCUAUAGAGGUGCUUGGAAUGCUCAAAAACACGUUGCACAGCAUCAAAACGUUUAUUUUUGCUUAAAACAGAUAUUAACGUAGGAUAAACUUCAGGAUGCAAAAAUUUAUUGGUUUCAAUAAGCUUACCGAACUGGAAAAACAAUAUAUUAACGUCCACCUGCUCAGGUGAUGCACUUGUUAACAUUUUGGAAACAAGUGAAUUUAUACUUUGAUCGAUGCAUUCCAGGUCGUCAAGGCAAUAACAAACUUGCGAUAUAUCCGCUAAAAUUUUCUGUCCAUUGUUAUCAGUAGAGAAUCCGACGACUGCUUCAGAGACGAUGUCAU
This is a non-coding RNA of Schizosaccharomyces pombe (fission yeast), 464 nucleotides long. The record is from the annotation of a GenBank genome assembly. Lineage: Eukaryota; Fungi; Ascomycota; Schizosaccharomycetes; Schizosaccharomycetales; Schizosaccharomycetaceae.